Cydia pomonella (codling moth) is the source of this 3536-nucleotide long non-coding RNA. RefSeq lists it as uncharacterized. The transcript is spliced from 2 exons. The record is from RefSeq and is a predicted model, not a curated record. NCBI's taxonomy places the organism in Eukaryota, Metazoa, Arthropoda, Insecta, Lepidoptera, Tortricidae.
UCUAGAUUGUCUAUAGAAUUGUAUUGUUGAAACGUCACUAUCAAUAUUUUCGAAUGGCUUCGUGUAAAUAUCAGUAGGUAGGUAUUACUGCCACAAGAUACGAAUAUGAUUUUUAUUGGUUAGGUACCGAAAAACAUAUUCAAUUUCAAAUUUCAAGUAUUACUUAAGUAAUUGUAAAAGGAACGUGAUUGGGGUGUAGUCGAUGACUGGUGUGCACUUAAUUAAUGAAACAAGCACCAACUCCACCACCACCACCACCAACACCACCAACACCAGCCACCAGCCUCAGCCUCCCGCACCAACUCUUUUUAACAUUAUUAACUUUCUCAUAUUCCAUAAAAUAUUCCAUUACAGUUUGUCUGGACGAGAUCAGCAAUGAGACCGUGUCUGCCAUAUACCAUAUAUGUGUGUUUAUUAACCAAUUGUUUUACGUAAUGUUUCUUUUAUCGAAGUGUAUCCGGACCCGGACCCGGACCCGGGUGCUUCCUUAAACUACGUCCAAAAGAGAGGUAUGGGCAUUGUGAAUGUCAUCUCGCUUUGUGUGGUAGGGCACAGCACAGCGGAUGUCAUUCAAGAUCUAGAGCGGAGCCCAACUGGGGAAGUACCUCCACCUUACAGAAAACCGCAACCAGACCCUACUCAUAGUGUUGUGUUCCUACCGGUGAGUAAGGUUGCCAGAGCUCAACGCCCCCCUCGUUGAGCUGUAAUGUAUGUAAGGGUCGGCAAAGCGCAUGUGACUCAUCUAGAGUUGCAGGCGUACAUAGGUUAUGGAGACUACUUACCAUCAGGCGGGCCGUAUACUUUUUUGCCACCGACGUAAUAUAUAAAAAAAAGUAUGCAAUAAAGAAUAGAGGCCAAUUUGUUCGUACAUUUUGGCAACAUAAUGAUAUAUAAAUUCGCGCGUACAUUUAAGAUGAUGACAAAAUGAAAUCAUUUAGAUAUCACUUUGAUGUCAACAUCUACUCUCUAGAUAUUCUGUCAGGUAGGUACCUUCAUUAUUCAUAGACCUCGAAUGGUAUAGAAUAUAGAUUAACUAUGAAAGCCUUUGCACCCCGGCUCAAUGGUCCCUGCAGGGUGCCGCGGGGUGCCGCAGGGCGCCCUGCUCGGGCCCAGGCCUUAGAUGCGCAGAUAACCGUUACGGUCAAUAGGGUGGUGCCACAGACAUAUUUUGUAAAAAAAAUACUAAGCUUACUGUUACACUUGUGGAGACAGCGCGCUUGGAAACAGCACCUUAUACUGUAGAGAUAAGGUUGCAGUUUAACUUUGAUCUAAAAUGCAACUGAAGUAAUAACUUUGUUAGUAUUGUACGGCAAACUUAAGUGUACGGUUGUGUAAUUGAAUAAACUCUAAUAUGAACCUUGUAUUGUUAAGUAAAAAGUCGAUUUUUUUGCAAGUUUCGUUUGUAGCGGCAAAAGUAAGUUGGUUUCUGGUAAUUUCGGGGAGUGGGGCGCUAUCGCCAUCUAUUUACUAAUGACUUCCUGCGUCAGGUGCUUAUUUCUACAUUUGUUUGCUAACGGACUCCUUUGUUGAUGGAAUUUCUUUGCGUCGCUCGGUAAGUCAAUAAUAUGACAGCUACACGCUGUGUGUAAUUAUGUAUUACAUAACAUGAAGCUUCGUGAUGGAGAUCAUCUGAUACGUACAAAUUAAUUAUGGAUAGACUAUGUUUACUAAUAGCUCUGGUUAAGGUAGGAAUCUAUAAAGGUAUGUCGUCUUGAUUAUGUCAUUUUUAAAUAGGUAAUUACUACAAGUUUCUUAUAAUGUAUAGCGAUAUAAAAACGAGUCACAUAAAUUAUUACGUGAAUAACCGUGAUUCUCAUACUGAGAGACCUGUUUUCAUUGCUCUUUAGUGUUAUUAAAUGUCAGUAUCAGCAGAAUAAUACCUAUGCAAUUUUAAUAAGUAUUAGAAUGGCUCUCACUAAUGUCUAAUAGGUAAUCUAACACUAAAACUGUGGAAUGAACUGUCGCAUGCGGUAUUUCCGGACCGAUAUGUCCUUCAAAUCUUCAAGAAAAGAGCGUACUCCCAUCUUAAAUGCCGGCAACGCACUUAUAACCCCUCUGGUGUUGCAGGUGUCCAUGCCCGGCGGUAAUCGCUUACCAUCAGGUGAUCCGUCUGCUCGUUUGCCUCCUGUAUAAUAAAAAAAAACAAGUCAAACAUGAAGAGCAAUGUAGAAUUACAUUUCAUAUUACAGAUUUAUAAACGGGCAAAUAGAUACUCCAAAAUGUCACAUAACCUAAUGUCACCCAGUAGGUAAUAAAUCUUCCUCUUGCUAUCUCCCCCACAUUCCGACGCUACAUACAGCCCAAUAUACGAAAACAUCAUAAAAUUUACGACUCGGAAACUAAACCUAUCCAUUACAACCAACCUCAAGUCAAACUCGACCUUAACUUCACAUCACACGGUUGAAAUUAAUUCGCGCUCUUAAGAAGAACUAGGGUAUCGCUUACACAAUCGCUCGCCGCGCCACUUGCAAUAUAAACCCUACGAUAGUAACUAUAGGGUGUGUUUCAGGUUGCGUGGAGUUGUUGAAGAAGUAGGGUAUCGGUUACAUGAUUGGCUGGUGUUGCCCCGCCCCGCGCCCCGGGCUCCACGCAACGACUAGGUACAGGACAGUGUACACCCACAGCUCGGCAUGUACUAGCUACGUGGUACCUACAACUACCCAGCGCCGAGUCACGCAGCAUUGUCGUCGAAACGAGCGGCCUAGGGGCUGUUGAACGACAAAAUAUCGUUAAGUAAUACAGUACUUACAAUACAGACAGUAGUUAAGUACUCAGGUAUCUGUAGAUACCAAACACAUAUCUAUACUUAGAUGUCGGUAACAUACCUACUACUAUACUUAUAGUCGAGCUAAUAAUAUCAAGUAUGUAGAGUCCGCGCCGUGCGGAAAGCGAAGAGUCAUUAGUAUGUGGUGGUGCCCUUAUAUCGCACUCUUCCCUUUCCGCGCAGACUCUUCACUGUUUUCCUGUACCAGGCCAUGCCGCAAAGUCACUUGAUGUUGGCUCUAUUACUAUCUAUACUAGGUAAAACGUACUAUAGUUAAAUGUUACGGUUUAUCAUUCCACAAUAGAUUUAUUUCUUUCAUUUUUAACUAAACUCUCACGGGAUCUAAAGCAUGGAAAUGUUUGAGAAUAGUAGUACCUAAUAAGGGUGACCCAAUAAAUAAGUAGGUACUAAUGAAUAUGAUUAGGCAUGUUGUUUCUCACGGAUAACAAAAAAUCAAGUGGGAAAAAUGUAUUGCAAACAAAAAUUUAAUAUUUUAUAAGACAGGACGAACGUAACAAGUACCUACUCAUAUUAUAGUAAUCAAAUGUGUUAUAGGUAGCGCAUCAACCACACAAGCUAUAUGCCGUGUAAGGCGCCCGACCCGACCCAGUCGGAUCCUCCACAAGGGAGCGAUAACCCGAUAACAUCGCAGCCGUUACCCUCGCCCGCGACCCGUGUCGCUUUAUCGCGACACGACAAUAUUAUGCUCGCCUGUUACGCUACCACCACUAUACCCAUACCACAUGAUAAAUAAAAGUAUUUCAUACCAUAA